CGGGGGUAAGGAUUGACGGACUGAAGGCUCUUUCUCGAUUCCGUGGAAAGUGGUGCAUGGCCGUUUUUGGUUGGUGGAUCGAUCCGUCUGGUUAAUUCCGUUAACGAACGAGACCUCGGCACUCCGAAUAGCGCGGCGGACGUCGCGGCCUCCGGGCCGUCUUCCGCACGAGCUUCUUAGAGGGACCGUCCCCCGCCGGGGAAGGAGGUGCGAGGCAACGACAGGUCUGUGAUGCCCUUAGAUGUUCUGGGCCGCACGCGCAUUACACUGACGCGUCCAACGGGUGACUCCCGACCCGAAGGGGCCGGGGAAUCCGCAAGGCGCGUCGUGAUGGGGAUUGAACGUUGCAAUUGUUGUUCACGAACGAGGAAUUCCUAGUAGGCGCGGGUCAUCAACCCGCGCCGAUUACGUCCCUGCCCCUUUGUA
This 426-nucleotide ribosomal RNA is filed under the name uncultured eukaryote. RNAcentral describes it as "bacterial SSU rRNA". It matches the Rfam family "Eukaryotic small subunit ribosomal RNA", at positions 1231 to 1664 of the family's 1831-position model. The record is from RNAcentral.